GAUGAACGCUGGCGGUAUGCCUAAUACAUGCAAGUCGAACGCAUUCUCGUUUUAGAUUGACGGUGCUUGCACCAGAUUGAAGAAACAUUUGAAUGAGUGGCGGACGGGUGAGUAACACGUGGGUAACCUGCCCAAAAGUGGGGGAUAACAUUUGGAAACAAAUGCUAAUACCGCAUAAAAGUUAGAACCGCAUGGUUCUAAUUUGAAAGAUGGUUUCGGCUAUCACUUUUGGAUGGACCCGCGGCGUAUUAGUUAGUUGGUGAGGUAAUGGCUCACCAAGACGAUGAUACGUAGCCGAACUGAGAGGUUGAUCGGCCACAAUGGGACUGAGACACGGCCCAUACUCCUACGGGAGGCAGCAGUAGGGAAUCUUCCACAAUGGGCGCAAGCCUGAUGGAGCAAUACCGCGUGAGUGAAGAAGGGUUUCGGCUCGUAAAACUCUGUUGUUGGAGAAGAACGUAUGUGAUAGUAACUGAUCAUGUAGUGACGGUAUCCAACCAGAAAGCCACGGCUAACUACGUG
RNAcentral lists this ribosomal RNA (522 nucleotides) under uncultured organism. Its description in RNAcentral is "bacterial SSU rRNA". It matches the Rfam family "Bacterial small subunit ribosomal RNA", at positions 28 to 507 of the family's 1533-position model. The record is from RNAcentral.